RNAcentral lists this ribosomal RNA (435 nucleotides) under uncultured bacterium. RNAcentral describes it as "bacterial SSU rRNA". It matches the Rfam family "Bacterial small subunit ribosomal RNA", at positions 339 to 791 of the family's 1533-position model. The record is from RNAcentral.
GUACGGGAGGCAGCAGUGGGGAAUCUUGCACAAUGGGGGAAACCCUGAUGCAGCGACGCCGCGUGAGCGAUGAAGCCCUUCGGGGUGUAAAGCUCUUUCGACGGGAACGAUAAUGACGGUACCCGGAGAAGAAGCUGCGGCUAACUACGUGCCAGCAGCCGCGGUAAUACGUAGGCAGCGAGCGUUGUUCGGAGUUACUGGGCGUAAAGAGUAUGUAGGCGGUUGCGCAAGUUUGGUGUGAAAUCUCCCGGCUUAACUGGGAGGGUGCGCCGAAAACUGCGCGGCUAGAGUGCGGGAGAGGAGAGCGGAAUUCCUGGUGUAGCGGUGAAAUGCGUAGAUAUCAGGAGGAACACCGGCGGUGUAGACGGCUCUCUGGACCGCGACUGACGCUGAGAUACGAAAGCGUGGGGAGCAAACAGGAUUAGAUACCCCGGU